UACGGAGUGUGCGAGCGUUACUCGGCCUCACUGGGCUUAAAGAGCACGUAGGCGGAAGUGCAAGUCGGUAUUGAAAUCCCCCGGCUCAACCGGGGAAUAGGUGCCGAAACUGCGCUUCUUGAGGUCGAGAGGGGAGAGCGGAACUUCUGGUGGAGCGGUGAAAUGCGUAGAUAUCAGAAGGAAUAUCGGUGGCGAAAGCGGCUCUCUGGCUCGAAUCUGACGCUGAGGUGCGAAAGCUAGGGGAGCAAAUGGG
Molecule: ribosomal RNA, 253 nt
Filed under: uncultured bacterium
Lineage: Bacteria
Description: partial 16S ribosomal RNA
Rfam family: Bacterial small subunit ribosomal RNA
Source: RNAcentral